AGUGAACGCUGGCGGUAGGCCUAACACAUGCAAGUCGAACGGCAGCACAGUAAGAGCUUGCUCUUACGGGUGGCGAGUGGCGGACGGGUGAGGAAUACAUCGGAAUCUACUUUUUCGUGGGGGAUAACGUAGGGAAACUUACGCUAAUACCGCAUACGACCUACGGGUGAAAGCAGGGGAUCUUCGGACCUUGCGCGAUUGAAUGAGCCGAUGUCGGAUUAGCUAGUUGGCGGGGUAAAGGCCCACCAAGGCGACGAUCCGUAGCUGGUCUGAGAGGAUGAUCAGCCACACUGGAACUGAGACACGGUCCAGACUCCUACGGGAGGCAGCAGUGGGGAAUAUUGGACAAUGGGCGCAGGCCUGAUCCAGCCAUACCGCGUGGGUGAAGAAGGCCUUCGGGUUGUAAAGCCCUUUUGUUGGGAAAGAAAAGCAGCAGGUUAAUACCCCGCUGUUCUGACGGGACCCAAAGAAUAAGACCGGCUAACUUCGUG
This 491-nucleotide ribosomal RNA is filed under the name uncultured bacterium. RNAcentral's name for it is "partial 16S ribosomal RNA". It matches the Rfam family "Bacterial small subunit ribosomal RNA", at positions 29 to 507 of the family's 1533-position model. The record is from RNAcentral.